RNAcentral lists this ribosomal RNA (253 nucleotides) under uncultured bacterium. RNAcentral's name for it is "partial 16S ribosomal RNA". It matches the Rfam family "Bacterial small subunit ribosomal RNA", at positions 524 to 776 of the family's 1533-position model. The record is from RNAcentral.
UACGAAGGGAUCUAGCGUUGUUCGGAUUUACUGGGCGUAAAGGGCGCGUAGGCGGUCUGAUAAGUAGGGUGUGAAAGCCCCGGGCUCAACCCGGGAACUGCAUCUUAAACUGUCAGGCUUGAGUGUUGGAGAGGUAAGUAGAAUUCCCAGUGUAGAGGUGAAAUUCGUAGAUAUUGGGAAGAAUACCAGUGGCGAAGGCGGCUUACUGGACAACAACUGACGCUGAGGCGCGAAAGCGUGGGGAGCAAACAGG